This 492-nucleotide ribosomal RNA is filed under the name uncultured bacterium. RNAcentral's name for it is "partial 16S ribosomal RNA". It matches the Rfam family "Bacterial small subunit ribosomal RNA", at positions 29 to 507 of the family's 1533-position model. The record is from RNAcentral.
AGUGAACGCUGGCGGUAGGCCUAACACAUGCAAGUCGAACGGCAGCACAGUAAGAGCUUGCUCUUACGGGUGGCGAGUGGCGGACGGGUGAGGAAUACAUCGGAAUCUACUUUUUCGUGGGGGAUAACGUAGGGAAACUUACGCUAAUACCGCAUACGACCUACGGGUGAAAGCAGGGGAUCUUCGGACCUUGCGCGAUUGAAUGAGCCGAUGUCGGAUUAGCUAGUUGGCGGGGUAAAGGCCCACCAAGGCGACGAUCCGUAGCUUGUCUGAGAGGAUGAUCAGCCACACUGGAACUGAGACACGGUCCAGACUCCUACGGGAGGCAGCAGUGGGGAAUAUUGGACAAUGGGCGCAAGCCUGACCCAGCCAUACCGCGUGGGUGAAGAAGGCCUUCGGGUUGUAAAGCCCUUUUGUUGGGAAAGAAAAGCAGCAUGUGAAUACCCCGCUGUUCUGACGGUACCCAAAGAAUAAGCACCGGCUAACUUCGUG